AAAAGUGUCCACUACAGGCCAUGAGACAGAUAAAUAGCUGGAUAGAUGUUCCCCUGGGAAACGAAAAAAACUUAGGGGUAGUACACCUGCGUGUGUUUGGUCAGUGCCUACGUAUGUGUGCCGAUUCGCUCCCUUUCGCUGAUACAGGGGAUGAUCUGUUACAUUUACGCACCCCACAAGCUGCUCGAGAAAAAUGCCAGAACGGU
This 206-nucleotide long non-coding RNA is filed under the name Volvox carteri. RNAcentral describes it as "long non-coding RNA (VCAR_LNC000631)". The record is from RNAcentral. Lineage: Eukaryota; Viridiplantae; Chlorophyta; Chlorophyceae; Chlamydomonadales; Volvocaceae.